Molecule: ribosomal RNA, 546 nt
Filed under: Triticum aestivum (bread wheat)
Lineage: Eukaryota; Viridiplantae; Streptophyta; Magnoliopsida; Poales; Poaceae
Description: partial small subunit ribosomal RNA
Source: RNAcentral
AUGGAAGAUUUCGUGCCUAGUAAAACAAUAGAUGAAUAUGAAUUCAGGACAAUACCAAUAUGGGUAAGAGCGUAUGGCGUCCCAAUGGGGAUGAUGAGCAAAGAAACAAGAGAUUUGAUAGGAGAACAAAUUGGGAAAGUCAUUGAUGUAGACCCAGAAAUUAGUGGUGAUUCUAUGGGAGCAUUUAUGCGGAUCAAAGUGAGAAUAGAUAUCACCAUGCCAAUUAUGAGGUUUGUAACAUCUUUUAUUGACGAUGAGGAAGAACAAGAGCAGGAAAAUGUAAUGAUACCUGUGGGAGAUGAUGAGGAGAUAGAACUAAGGAGAAAGAAGAGAGAAAUGGAGGAAAAAAUUGUCUCCUUCACAUACGAGUAUCUUCCUGACUUCUGCUACAGCUGUGGAAUUAUUGGACAUACUAAAAAAUCACGCCCAACUAGAUCUAGAAGAACAGGGUCCAGACAGUUCGGGCCAUGGUUGCGUGCAAAUAUUUACAAGGGGAGCUCGAGUGAAGAAAGAAGUAGGGGUUCGAAUGAUAAAGGGAAAUUUUGA